CUGCACACAGAUUGUGCUGGUGUCGCAGAGCAAUCCAUCAGAGAUCCCUACUGGUGUGGUUGCAAGAGACCUUUGCCUUUGAACUUUGAUGGGACACUAAGAGUUCUGCAGCAGGAUGGAGUGCAGGGUCUCAUUGGUGACGAUGAGCUCCAGAAAAUACAUCAAGCACUGGUGUCUGAUGAAAUUAAGUCGAGCCGGAUGUAUCUUUGGAGAAAUCCCGGAACCUCAUUGAAACUGAAGCAGCUUUUAAGACCAAAGCGUUUCCUUUUCAAUGAAGAA
Molecule: long non-coding RNA, 279 nt
Organism: Hypomesus transpacificus
Lineage: Eukaryota; Metazoa; Chordata; Actinopteri; Osmeriformes; Osmeridae
Exons: 3
Source: RefSeq, a predicted model, not a curated record